GAUUAAGUUAUUAAGGGCGCACGGUGGAUGCCUUGGCACUAGAAGCCGAUGAAGGACGUUACUAACGACGAUAUGCUUUGGGGAGCUGUAAGUAAGCUUUGAUCCAGAGAUUUCCGAAUGGGGAAACCCAGCAUGAGUUAUGUCAUGUUAUCGAUAUGUGAAUACAUAGCAUAUCAGAAGGCACACCCGGAGAACUGAAACAUCUUAGUACCCGGAGGAAGAGAAAGAAAAUUCGAUUCCCUUAGUAGCGGCGAGCGAAACGGGAAGAGCCCAAACCAACAAGCUUGCUUGUUGGGGUUGUAGGACACUCUAUACGGAGUUACAAAGGACGACAUUAGACGAAUCAUCUGGAAAGAUGAAUCAAAGAAGGUAAUAAUCCUGUAGUCGAAAAUGUUGUCUCUCUUGAGUGGAUCCUGAGUACGACGGAGCACGUGAAAUUCCGUCGGAAUCUGGGAGGACCAUCUCCUAAGGCUAAAUACUCUCUAGUGACCGAUAGUGAACCAGUACCGUGAGGGAAAGGUGAAAAGCACCCCGGAAGGGGAGUGAAAUAGAACCUGAAACCGUGUGCUUACAAGUAGUCAGAGCCCGUUAAUGGGUGAUGGCGUGCCUUUUGUAGAAUGAACCGGCGAGUUACGAUUUGAUGCAAGGUUAAGCAGUAAAUGUGGAGCCGUAGCGAAAGCGAGUCUGAAUAGGGCGUUUAGUAUUUGGUCGUAGACCCGAAACCAGGUGAUCUACCCUUGGUCAGGUUGAAGUUCAGGUAACACUGAAUGGAGGACCGAACCGACUUACGUUGAAAAGUGAGCGGAUGAACUGAGGGUAGCGGAGAAAUUCCAAUCGAACCUGGAGAUAGCUGGUUCUCUCCGAAAUAGCUUUAGGGCUAGCCUCAAGUGAUGAUUAUUGGAGGUAGAGCACUGUUUGGACGAGGGGCCCCUCUCGGGUUACCGAAUUCAGACAAACUCCGAAUGCCAAUUAAUUUAACUUGGGAGUCAGAACAUGGGUGAUAAGGUCCGUGUUCGAAAGGGAAACAGCCCAGACCACCAGCUAAGGUCCCAAAAUAUAUGUUAAGUGGAAAAGGAUGUGGCGUUGCCCAGACAACUAGGAUGUUGGCUUAGAAGCAGCCAUCAUUUAAAGAGUGCGUAAUAGCUCACUAGUCGAGUGACACUGCGCCGAAAAUGUACCGGGGCUAAACAUAUUACCGAAGCUGUGGAUUGUCCUUUGGACAAUGGUAGGAGAGCGUUCUAAGGGCGUUGAAGCAUGAUCGUAAGGACAUGUGGAGCGCUUAGAAGUGAGAAUGCCGGUGUGAGUAGCGAAAGACGGGUGAGAAUCCCGUCCACCGAUUGACUAAGGUUUCCAGAGGAAGGCUCGUCCGCUCUGGGUUAGUCGGGUCCUAAGCUGAGGCCGACAGGCGUAGGCGAUGGAUAACAGGUUGAUAUUCCUGUACCACCUAUAAUCGUUUUAAUCGAUGGGGGGACGCAGUAGGAUAGGCGAAGCGUGCGAUUGGAUUGCACGUCUAAGCAGUAAGGCUGAGUAUUAGGCAAAUCCGGUACUCGUUAAGGCUGAGCUGUGAUGGGGAGAAGACAUUGUGUCUUCGAGUCGUUGAUUUCACACUGCCGAGAAAAGCCUCUAGAUAGAAAAUAGGUGCCCGUACCGCAAACCGACACAGGUAGUCAAGAUGAGAAUUCUAAGGUGAGCGAGCGAACUCUCGUUAAGGAACUCGGCAAAAUGACCCCGUAACUUCGGGAGAAGGGGUGCUCUUUAGGGUUAACGCCCAGAAGAGCCGCAGUGAAUAGGCCCAAGCGACUGUUUAUCAAAAACACAGGUCUCUGCUAAACCGUAAGGUGAUGUAUAGGGGCUGACGCCUGCCCGGUGCUGGAAGGUUAAGAGGAGUGGUUAGCUUCUGCGAAGCUACGAAUCGAAGCCCCAGUAAACGGCGGCCGUAACUAUAACGGUCCUAAGGUAGCGAAAUUCCUUGUCGGGUAAGUUCCGACCCGCACGAAAGGCGUAACGAUUUGGGCACUGUCUCAACGAGAGACUCGGUGAAAUCAUAGUACCUGUGAAGAUGCAGGUUACCCGCGACAGGACGGAAAGACCCCGUGGAGCUUUACUGUAGCCUGAUAUUGAAAUUCGGCACAGCUUGUACAGGAUAGGUAGGAGCCUUUGAAACGUGAGCGCUAGCUUACGUGGAGGCGCUGGUGGGAUACUACCCUAGCUGUGUUGGCUUUUCUAACCCGCACCACUUAUCGUGGUGGGAGACAGUGUCAGGCGGGCAGUUUGACUGGGGCGGUCGCCUCCUAAAAGGUAACGGAGGCGCUCAAAGGUUCCCUCAGAAUGGUUGGAAAUCAUUCAUAGAGUGUAAAGGCAUAAGGGAGCUUGACUGCGAGACCUACAAGUCGAGCAGGGUCGAAAGACGGACUUAGUGAUCCGGUGGUUCCGCAUGGAAGGGCCAUCGCUCAACGGAUAAAAGCUACCCCGGGGAUAACAGGCUUAUCUCCCCCAAGAGUUCACAUCGACGGGGAGGUUUGGCACCUCGAUGUCGGCUCAUCGCAUCCUGGGGCUGUAGUCGGUCCCAAGGGUUGGGCUGUUCGCCCAUUAAAGCGGUACGCGAGCUGGGUUCAGAACGUCGUGAGACAGUUCGGUCCCUAUCCGUCGUGGGCGUAGGAAAUUUGAGAGGAGCUGUCCUUAGUACGAGAGGACCGGGAUGGACAUACCUCUGGUGUACCAGUUGUCGUGCCAACGGCAUAGCUGGGUAGCUAUGUGUGGACGGGAUAAGUGCUGAAAGCAUCUAAGCAUGAAGCCCCCCUCAAGAUGAGAUUUCCCAACUUCGGUUAUAAGAUCCCUCAAAGAUGAUGAGGUUAAUAGGUUCGAGGUGGAAGCAUGGUGACAUGUGGAGCUGACGAAUACUAAUCGAUCGAAGACUUAAUCAA
Molecule: ribosomal RNA, 2924 nt
Filed under: Staphylococcus aureus subsp. aureus IS-105
Lineage: Bacteria; Bacillati; Bacillota; Bacilli; Caryophanales; Staphylococcaceae
Description: bacterial LSU rRNA
Rfam family: Bacterial large subunit ribosomal RNA
Source: RNAcentral